UUAAAUUGAAGAGUUUGAUCAUGGCUCAGAUUGAACGCUGGCGGCAGGCCUAACACAUGCAAGUCGAACGGUAACAGGAAACAGCUUGCUGUUUCGCUGACGAGUGGCGGACGGGUGAGUAAUGUCUGGGAAACUGC
This 137-nucleotide ribosomal RNA is filed under the name Escherichia coli. RNAcentral describes it as "partial 16S ribosomal RNA". It matches the Rfam family "Bacterial small subunit ribosomal RNA", at positions 1 to 129 of the family's 1533-position model. Lineage: Bacteria; Pseudomonadati; Pseudomonadota; Gammaproteobacteria; Enterobacterales; Enterobacteriaceae. RNAcentral also lists the same sequence under 1 other name. The record is from RNAcentral.